This 253-nucleotide ribosomal RNA is filed under the name uncultured bacterium. RNAcentral describes it as "partial 16S ribosomal RNA". It matches the Rfam family "Bacterial small subunit ribosomal RNA", at positions 524 to 776 of the family's 1533-position model. The record is from RNAcentral.
UACGUAGGGGGCUAGCGUUGUCCGGAAUCAUUGGGCGUAAAGAGCGUGUAGGCGGUCCGGUAAGUCCGCUGUGAAAGUCGGGGGCUCAACCCUCGAAUGCCGGUGGAUACUGUCGGGCUAGAGUGCGGAAGAGGCGAGUGGAAUUCCUGGUGUAGCGGUGAAAUGCGCAGAUAUCAGGAGGAACACCGGUGGCGAAGGCGGCAUCCUGGACCAUGACUGACGCUGAGGAGCGAAAGCCAGGGGAGCAAACGGG